CCAGGGUGUUUAUGACCUGUCCCUGGCUCCACACAGCUCUUGUCAAUUUCUUCUAUUUGUCACUCUGAACUGUCAUUUAUAGUGAUAAGAAAAGAACAGAAGGCUCAGUAGAGGCGAACACCGAGGGAUGUUAAAGACAUCUGAGGACUCCCUGUUUUGCAUUUUGAGGACUAUUUUGAUCUCUGCCAGUUCAAAGUGGCCAAGAGCCUUCCUCUGCUUUGCUGGCUGUGCAAGCUACAUUUCCCAGAUGCCCUUGCCAAACUGGCUUCUGGUCCACCUAGAGCCUCACUGAUAGGAAAUUAAAG
Heterocephalus glaber (naked mole-rat) is the source of this 305-nucleotide long non-coding RNA. The record is from Ensembl. NCBI's taxonomy places the organism in Eukaryota, Metazoa, Chordata, Mammalia, Rodentia, Bathyergidae.